RNAcentral lists this ribosomal RNA (253 nucleotides) under uncultured bacterium. RNAcentral describes it as "partial 16S ribosomal RNA". It matches the Rfam family "Bacterial small subunit ribosomal RNA", at positions 524 to 776 of the family's 1533-position model. The record is from RNAcentral.
UACGUAGGGACCGAGCGUUGUCCGGAAUCAUUGGGCGUAAAGAGCGUGUAGGCGGCCACUUAAGUCCUGCGUGAAAUCUUGCGGCUCAACCGCAAGCGGUCGUGGGAAACUGGGUGGCAAGAGUGCGGGAGAGGAGAGUGGAAUUCCUGGUGUAGCGGUGGAAUGCGCAGAUAUCAGGAGGAACACCGGUGGCGAAGGCGGGUCUCUGGGCCGAUACUGACACUGAGAAGCGAAAGCGUGGGGAGCGAACAGG